RNAcentral lists this ribosomal RNA (997 nucleotides) under human gut metagenome. RNAcentral describes it as "bacterial LSU rRNA". It matches the Rfam family "Bacterial large subunit ribosomal RNA", at positions 1934 to 2925 of the family's 2925-position model. The record is from RNAcentral.
CCGUAACUAUAACGGUCCUAAGGUAGCGAAAUUCCUUGUCGGGUAAGUUCCGACCUGCACGAAUGGCGUAAUGAUGGCCAGGCUGUCUCCACCCGAGACUCAGUGAAAUUGAACUCGCUGUGAAGAUGCAGUGUACCCGCGGCAAGACGGAAAGACCCCGUGAACCUUUACUAUAGCUUGACACUGAACACUGGUCCUUGAUGUGUAGGAUAGGUGGGAGGCUUUGAAGUGUGGACGCCAGUCUGCAUGGAGCCAUCCUUGAAAUACCACCCUUUAAUGGCUGGUGUUCUAACGUGGGCCCGUGAUCCGGGUUGCGGACAGUGUCUGGUGGGUAGUUUGACUGGGGCGGUCUCCUCCUAAAGAGUAACGGAGGAGCACGAAGGUCAGCUAAUCCUGGUCGGACAUCAGGAGGUUAGUGCAAUGGCAUAAGCUGGCUUGACUGCGAGCGUGACGGCGCGAGCAGGUGCGAAAGCAGGUCAUAGUGAUCCGGUGGUUCUGAAUGGAAGGGCCAUCGCUCAACGGAUAAAAGGUACUCCGGGGAUAACAGGCUGAUACCGCCCAAGAGUUCAUAUCGACGGCGGUGUUUGGCACCUCGAUGUCGGCUCAUCACAUCCUGGGGCUGAAGUAGGUCCCAAGGGUAUGGCUGUUCGCCAUUUAAAGUGGUACGCGAGCUGGGUUUAGAACGUCGUGAGACAGUUCGGUCCCUAUCUGCCGUGGGCGCUGGAGAAUUGAGGGGGGCUGCUCCUAGUACGAGAGGACCGGAGUGGACGCAUCACUGGUGUUCGGGUUGUCAUGCCAAUGGCAUUGCCCGGUAGCUAAAUGCGGAAGAGAUAAGUGCUGAAAGCAUCUAAGCACGAAACUUGCCCCGAGAUGAGUUCUCCCUGACUCCUUGAGAGUCCUGAAGGAACGUUGAAGACGACGACGUUGAUAGGCCGGGUGUGUAAGCGCAGCGAUGCGUUGAGCUAACCGGUACUAAUGAACCGUGAGGCUUAACCUU